Molecule: non-coding RNA, 667 nt
Organism: Oryctolagus cuniculus (rabbit)
Lineage: Eukaryota; Metazoa; Chordata; Mammalia; Lagomorpha; Leporidae
Source: RefSeq, a predicted model, not a curated record
UGCACCGGGCCCAGCCGCUGUGGAGCAGGGGCUGAGCCCCCAGAAGUCAGGUUCCUGGGAGGCGGAGCUCAGGAAAUGCUGGGCCCAGGGUCCCGUGCCCUCAGGUCCCCGGGCUGGGGAUGCUGGGCCCAGGGUCCCGUGCCCUCAGGUCCCCGGGCUGGGGAUGCUGGGCCCAGGGUCCCGUGCCCUCAGGUCCCCGGGCUGGGGAUGCUGGGCCCAGGGUCCCGUGCCCUCAGGUCCCCGGGCUGGGGAUGCUGGGCCCAGGGUCCCGUGCCCUCAGGUCCCCGGGCUGGGGAUGCUGGGCCCAGGGUCCCCUGCCGUCAGGCCCCCCCGGCUGAGGUUGUGCAGUGCCAGACCAGCGGUGGGGGCGCGGCCCAGGUGGAGUCCAGGCUGUUGCCGCGAGGGUUUCCUGCAGCAAGAACCCGGCGCCGGCUGAAGGCUCCGACGUUUCUCCCGGACCCUGUGAGCUGGAGCUGGCUCCCUGCAGCCGCUGUCACUUCCUGGGGCGCAGCAGGGGUGGCCGCUGCGCCUCCGGACCCCAGGGCCCCGUCUGGGACGGAGCUGCAGGCGCCGCGGGGGUCUCACCAGCUGGGGGGUCCUCAGGAUCUGCUGACAGCCUGAAGACAGCAGGACCUGAGGGAGGCAGGGCGGGAGCUCUGGCACACAG